UGAGAAACCUUCGUUCACCCAGGUUUCAGUCUUCUUCAUCUUCUCCUCUCAUCUUCCUAUCCUUUCUCUCUGUCUCUCUGCUCCUCGAUCUCUCUCAUCUGUCUGUGCGUCGCACGCAAGAUCAUGGUAUUUCUAUUUCAUGACCCCUCAAAAAAGGAGAAGAGGUUGUUGAUUGAAUCUGAAUCAAAAACUUUGCUUAAGCUUCUUUUCCUUCCCCUCAUUUCUUUCUUCUUGUGAACCUGUGAUCUUUCUUUUCUUUUCUUUUUUUCCUUUCUCUCAUAACAAAACAUGGCUUACAGAAGAAGGCAGGGUCAAAGUCUUCAACCUUUGAGGAAGAGAUUCCUCAAUCUCAAUCAUCAUUACCUGAAAACAAUGAAAUCAAGAAUGAUUUUUCAUCGUCGUCGUCAUCCGUUGUUGCUCAAGCCAAGGCCUCCGCCUCUGGCGGCCACGCCUUCGACCCUGCCUCUGAUCAUCACAAAUCCAAGAAUGAUGAUGGUGACUCAAAGACUGGCUUCUGGGGUGUCUUGGCUCAGAGAGCCAAAUCAAUUAUUGAUGAUGAUAUUAACAGUGUUCCAUAUCCAUAUUCAUCAUUACAUGCCACUAUGCCACAAAAAUUCAGAUCAUACCCAUUCAGUAAUACAGGUGCUCCAGAAUCUCAGUCAAAGCCGUCAUAUCAACAACAUGAAUCUCAUAAUUUAGGGGACAACCCUACAAUUAGGAAGGGAUUGGAGGCAAUCACUAGUUCCCUUAAGCACUUAGGUGACACCUUUGAGAAGGCUUUUGAGGAAGGCCGAAUGAUCGUGGAGAGCAAGACAGACUCAAAUCUGAGCAUAAUUUCACUUUGCUUUGGUUGCAACUUGCAGGUGGCAAUGGCAACGGCUGCCAAAGCAAAACUACUUCUUCGCGAGCUAAAAACUGUUAAAGCAGAUUUGGCUUUUGCAAAAGCCAGGUGUUCUCAACUAGAAGAAGAAAAUAAAAUGCUCCGCGACCGCGGUACCGCUACCACUAAGGGACAGAACCGUGAAGAUGAUGAUAUGAUUCGGUUUCAACUGGAGACGCUUCUUGCCGAGAAGGCUCGCUUGGCAGGCAAGAAUGAGGUAUAUGCUAGGGAAAACCGUUUCCUAAGGGAGAUUGUGGAGUACCAUCAGCUGACAAUGCAGGAUGUAGUGUACCUGGAUGAUGGCAUCGCUGAAGUCCCAGAGGUUUAUGACAGCUCGAGUGGGGUGUCCCGGAUAACGUCUUUCAACCCAUCACCAUCAGAAUCACCUCUUCGAGUGGUUAUUCGGAACUCAGAAAGUUCACCUAUUCUCCCAAACGAGAUGUUAACUGUGAUAGAGAAAGAUAGUAAGAGUGCAUCAGAAAAUGAGGCUCCUCUUCCUAGUGUCUCAGCUUCUCCAAAGUGAUAUAUCUGUUCUCCUUCAAACAAUAGCAUUUAGUUUAGAUGGGGUUCUUGUUUAGAAGCAAGGAAAAUGCAUGUUUUUCUUUUUUGUAGCAUUUAUUAAUUUGUUUCUAUUUUUUACCACUACCCUUGAGGCCAAUAACCAGUGAUUCUUUUGUUAACCACAUGUAGAAUAUCUUGUGUAGUCGGGUAGGCUAACUAGAAUCCGAUCUGGUACUUUUCCGAGAUCAGGAAAUCGGUACUUUCAGAACUCAAGUAAGCAAGCGAUUUGCCUCAUUCCUCUCAACCUUAGCCUGGGAAAGCUAUGCUCUACCAUUUAGCGUCUUCCGCGUGUGGAACUUUCCUAUCUCUUAUGUAAUUUUCCAACCUUCACUUCCUCUGCUUACUUAUUUAAAAUAAGAGAGAUAGGAGCGAGCAAGGAGAGCUAGAGUAAAGAGAGGAAGAGGCUGGGUGAUAUUACAAGAAACUACACAUUUAUUUAUUUAUUUAUUUUUGUGUGACUUAUGUUCAUGGUUUUUGAUUGUAUUGGCUGAUAUUGAUCUAUACAAAGUUAUUCUUUUUCUUUCUUUUUGUAACUUCUUGUAAUUGAAAUUGCACUUUUUUCUGAUCUUUAUAUUAGGGAAGUAUUGGUAUUUUGAUUCAAUGCAUUAAUAGAAGUCAAAUUAUCAUA
This is an RNA transcript of Arachis duranensis, 2069 nucleotides long. RefSeq lists it as uncharacterized. The record is from RefSeq and is a predicted model, not a curated record. The transcript has 6 exons. Lineage: Eukaryota; Viridiplantae; Streptophyta; Magnoliopsida; Fabales; Fabaceae.